This is a non-coding RNA of Podarcis lilfordi (Lilford's wall lizard), 74 nucleotides long. NCBI's taxonomy places the organism in Eukaryota, Metazoa, Chordata, Lepidosauria, Squamata, Lacertidae. The record is from the annotation of a GenBank genome assembly.
GCCUGGAUAGCUCAGUUGGUUAGAGCUUGGUGCUGAUAAUCCUAAGGUUGCAGGUUCGAUCCCUGCAAAGGACA